GGGGAUACCCCCGGGAAACUGGGGAUAAUACCCUAUAGGUUACCAAUGCUGGAAUGCUUGGUAACCGAAAGUUCCGGCGCCUUAGGAUGGAUCUGCGGCCGAUUAGGUUGUUGUCGGGGUAACGGCCCAACAAGCCAGUAAUCGGUACGGGUUGUGGGAGCAAGAGCCCGGAGUUGGAUUCUGAGACACGAAUCCAGGCCCUACGGGGCGCAGCAGGCGCGAAAACUUUACAAUGCGGGCAACCGUGAUAAGGGAACCUCGAGUGCCUGUAUAUGCAGGCUGUCUGGGUGUCUAAAACACACCCAAAGAAAGGGCCGGGCAAGACCGGUGCCAGCCGCCGCGGUAAUACCGGCGGCUCGAGUGGUGGCCACUUUUAUUGGGCUUAAAGCGUUCGUAGCUGGGUUAUUAAGUCCCUUGGGAAAUCCGACAGCUUAGCUGUCGGGCGUCUAAGAGAUACUGGUAAUCUUGGAACCGGGAGAGGUGAGGGGUACUUCGGGGGUAGGAGUGAAAUCCUGUAAUCCUCGAGGGACCACCUGUGGCGAAGGCGCCUCACCAGAACGGCUUCGACAGUGAGGGACGAAAGCUGGGGGAGCAAACCGGAUUAGAUACCCGGGUAGUCCCAGCCGUAAACGAUGUGCGUUAGGUGUAUCGGUGACCACGAGUCACCGAGGUGCCGAAGGGAAACCGUGAAACGUACCGCCUGGGAAGUAC
Molecule: ribosomal RNA, 711 nt
Filed under: uncultured archaeon
Lineage: Archaea
Description: bacterial SSU rRNA
Rfam family: Archaeal small subunit ribosomal RNA
Source: RNAcentral